UCAAUGAAUUCUUGUGAAUGUGUCUCUGCUUCCCACAUGAGCUCACAAAGCCCUCCCUGCUCUUGUUGGUUGGAAUAAAAGCUUCUAUUCAGGCCCUCCCUGUAAUCUCGGCAGGUCCCUCUCACCCUCUGGAAUUCUUAUGCGAGGCACGAGUUAAAUUCAGCCAGCUAAGCUUAGCAAGAGCUGGAAAGAAAGCAGCAUGUUUUGAGUGACCUGUUAACAGGACAUCCAAUAAACCACCACUACUGACACACACUGUCUCUCAGCAAUAGAGUCCUCACACAGAAAGCAGGCCUCUGUAUGGAUGUGGGGCCCAUGCAGGGCAGACAACAGUUUCUCUUAUAGUAAUUAUAUGUAUUCUGCAAUUCACCCUUCUGGCUAACAAGAUGCCCAAGAUGACUGCUGAUGAAAAACAGCCCCACAGCAUAAUGCAACCACCAUCAUUUCAUGGCAGAUUGUAUCACUGACAUUCAUGUUCCUGGCCAUUGUCCACUUUAAAGACUUGUUUCCCCUACUUCGCAUAAACUAAUACAGUGAAACCCAACCAGUGGCUCAUGAACAACAAGUUGCUCACCAAUCCCUUCAAUGUGACUCCCAGUGGCAUUAAAGAGUGUAACUACAGAGGAAGCCGACACAGCUGCAGGGGAGCCCAGGAGUGUAGGUGGUCCAGUUAGCCCCAAAGUAAUAAGCAAUUUCAAUAUAUCUUGGUAAAAUAGGUCAGUAUGGAAUAAGUUCUGGGGCCCUAUAUUGAAUUUGCUGUGGGGUUCAAUAACAUCUAGUUAUGCCACUGAUAUAUUGGAUGGUUAUUUAAAGUGAUGUUUAAUAAUGAGACUUACUUUAUAACACAGGAAAUAGUUUCCCAUAAUGUUGCUGUGCUAUGUGAUAUAGGACUUGCUUUGAUGCACCAGCCUAGCUGCAAAGGAUCUUUAGCAGUGUGUGCCAUGCUUGACUAAGCAUUUGUCAUUGUUGUCCAACUUGAUACCUAAGGGCUCUAAGAUGAGGCUCUGACAAAAUUUUUAUUGCUCCCAGUGCGCACUAUUUUUUUUUUACAUUAUCAUUUCAAUAUUGUCUUUUCUACAAACAUGUAUACACUAGAUGGCAUCCAGAUAUAAGCUGGCUUUACAGUUGGCAAUCAAGUCUAUGUAACCUGUGCAGACCAAAUUGCACGGAUCUGAUUAUUUUACCCCCAAGAUAAAGAUUGGUGUUAUAUGGGCCCAGUGGGAGUGGAAGACAUCUAUGAUUUGCUGUGGUCCUUGUCCAAUGGGAUUUCUUUACCCAGAAUGACGGAUAUGAAGGCCCAUUAAACUGUCCAAGAGUGGCCUAGUCCAUGUAUGACCACCUUUAUCUAUAAGUUCUGCCUUUUGAAUCUCUUCAGGAUUACAGAUGUGCUGGCAUUUAAAUAUUAUCUAUGCAUAAAUGUUUUCACUGUGGAGGAUGCUUACAUUUAGAACAGGUGUUUUAGAAGAAAGGGGGAGUCUUAUGCUGUCCUUCCGUAAACAACAGCAAGGCUACAUGGACGUGUCUCAGUUCCCAAUACACCAUUAAUUAAACAAAAAAAUUGGGUCCCAUAGCCUAUUUCUCAUAAAAAUUCCCAAGUUUUAAUUAGCAUGAAUAACAAUGUUAUUGUUGGUACAUACUGACCCUGUAUGAUCCACCUUGUGUUUAAACACCUAUGACUAAGUGCCGGAGGGUAGGAAAAGCAUGAGGUGUUUUAGAAGCUCAAACAACCUCUAACAGAAACACCAUUCUAUGCAGGGUAGGACUGGGGAGCCCGGGGCCCACUGGGACCUACUGUCCAGGGCCCCACUCUGAUCGACCGUAACGCGUCCCCUACAGUGACACCGAGGGCGCAUGCAUAGAGGUGCCUCGCGCAUGCGCAGUUUUCGCUGAGCGGCUGCUUCUGGGCCCAUCAGGUUUUUUUCCGGUCUCCUGCCGGGCCAGUCCGACACUGAUUCUAUGGGAUCUAAUGGCAGCCCCAAUGGCAUUUUCCAUGAUACGUGUAUUUGCAGUCCAGUCCUGUGGCACAGCUAGGGUUGCCACCUGGCAUGUAAAAAUGAUGGUUGAUUCCAAUGUUAUUAACAGGGAAAAAAGAUAAAUAUAUAGGAAGGCCGGCAUUUUUUCCCCAGAAAACGUGGCAACCCUAGGCACAGCCUAAACAGCAUGCCAGCCCACUGGGUAAGGAGUCACUCACCACUGCACAGUAGUUGGCCAAAUGUUAAGUACAGCUCCUGAGAGAAAUCUGGCAACUGCUGCGCGUUUGAUUAGAAAUCUAUGAAACCCAUAAGCCAUGAUGACUACAGAGAAAUACCCUGUGUAAUGAACACGACUCGUCUAAUAUUGGGUGGUUGGCGAGCACUUACUGGAGUCUAUACCAUAAAGCACUGCUGCCGACUUCCAUUAAUCCUCCUUAAUUCACCGGAUCAUAAAUGCUCCCCGUACUAUUACUAAGCAUUUCCAGGCCUCGGUAUCCUCCCCACCCCCCACUUAAUAUCC
Molecule: long non-coding RNA, 2493 nt
Organism: Xenopus laevis (African clawed frog)
Lineage: Eukaryota; Metazoa; Chordata; Amphibia; Anura; Pipidae
Exons: 3
Source: RefSeq, a predicted model, not a curated record